UUGUCCCUAGUUGCCUUUAUGCCUUCCCUGCUCCCCAGCUGGAGCAGUAGGAUGGACCUGGUUGGUAACACCCUGCCUUGCCACCCCCCAGGGAGCCCCUGAUGCCUCCAGCUCCCUGGGCCAAGAAGUUGCGAGCCCCUGCUGUACUGUGAGGUGUGGAGAAUCAUGGAAUUACAGAAUAAGCUGAGUUGGAAGGGACCCAUUAGGAUCACUGAGUCCAACUUCUGGUCCUGUGCAGUACCAUUCCCAAGAGUCACACCAUGUGCCCGGGAGUUUUUUGCAAACACUUUUUGAACUCUGUCAGGCUUGGUGCUGUGACCACUUCCCUGGGGAGCCUGUUACAGUGGCCAGCCUCCCUCUGGGUGAAGAACCUUAUUCUAAUAUCCAGUCUAAACUGAUAUAACUUCAGGCCAUUCCCUCGGGUCCUCUCACUGUUGACCACACAGAAGAGAUCAGUGCCUGCCCUCCUCUUCCCCUUAUGAGGAAGUUGUAACUGCAAUGAGGCCUCCACUCAGUCUCCUCUUCUCCUGAGUGAACAGACAAAGGGAUCUCAGCUGCUCCUCAUAUGGCUUCCCCUAAGGCCCUUCAUUAUCUUGCCCUUGUCUGGACACUCUCUAAUAGUUUAAUACCUUUAUUACAUUGUGGUGCCCAAAACUGCCCCCAGCACUUGAGAUGAGGCUGUCUCAGCUCAGAGCAGAGCAGGACAAUCCCCUUCCUUGCCCGGCUGGCCAUGCUGUGCCUGAUGCCCCCCACACUGACCCUCCUCAUUGCCAGGGCACUGUGGACUCAUGUUCAACUUUCCAUAGACCAGGACCCUCACAUCCCUUCCAGCUUCUCAUUCCCCAGUUUGUCCAUACCUCCAAGGUAACCCCAUCCCAGGUACAGAAUCCAGCACUUUCACUUGAUGAACUUGAUCUGGUUGGUGAUUGCUCAGCCCUCUGAUUUUUUGAGGUCUCUCUGUAGAACCUCCCUGCCUUUGAAGGAGUCAACAGCUCCUCCCUUUCCAUCAUCUACAAACUUGCUCAGUCCCAUCCAGUCCUGUAUCCAAGCCAAUUAUGAAGAUGUUAGAGAGCACAGGGCCAAGGAUGGAGCCCUGUGGAACCCCACUAGUGACAGGUCACUGAUGUCACCCCAUUCACUGUAACCCUUUGUGCCUGACCCGUGAACCAGCUGCUCACCCAUCACACCAUGAUGUUUUUAUCCAGCUGUGUUGGACACUUUGUCCAGAAGGAUCCUGUGAGAGACAGUAUCAAAAGCUGUACUGAAAUCCAAAAACAUUGCAUCAACCGGCUUCCCUUGAUCAGCUAGCCUGACCUCCAUGUCAUUGCAACUUGCAAAAGGAGUCUGCUUGAAGGAAGCCUAGAGACUUCUUGAAGAGUUGACCUUCCUAUUGAAGUUAAUAUUGGCUGUUCCCAUCAAACUACAUCUUCCCAAGAGGAUAUAAAAAAUAGUAUCUUCAAAACCAAAUAAAAGAACUAAGGAAUUUUAAAUGCUGACCCGUUCAAUCAAAUAAACUUGAGCUGCAAAAUGAUGAAAAGCACUGAGAAUGUUCUGAUGGAGAACAACUAAUCCAUAUUGUUGUCAUGGCAACCAGAAUGAAUGCAAACUCAUUUUUACACUAGAAGUUGAAAACAUUACUGUCAGAGGUCUGAUAUGCAUCCCUUGUCUCUCUCAUAUGGACACUGUCAAACAUGCAUUAGUACUGCCCUUCAUGUGCACUUCUGCAGUGUGAAUGCACUUUUCCACUCUACAGCCUUGGGAUAUGGACAUGUACUUUCACUGCUCCUUCUAAAAGUCAUCUUUGGACAAAAGCACAGUGAUU
This is a long non-coding RNA of Passer domesticus (house sparrow), 1822 nucleotides long. RefSeq lists it as uncharacterized. The record is from RefSeq and is a predicted model, not a curated record. The transcript has 4 exons. Lineage: Eukaryota; Metazoa; Chordata; Aves; Passeriformes; Passeridae.